GGCAUCUAGCGAGGGAGGCAGCAGGCGCUGGAAGACGCUGCUCAUUUCAGAGAGAAGAGAGGAGGUACAAGUGUCUCCUGAUUCCUCCUCACCCUGACAGUCUUUGCCAAACGUUGAAAAGCUCUUCUUCUUUUCACUGGUGUCAGCAGGCUGUGGAUCUUCCUCGAGGCCCUGCUGCUGCUGUUGCUGCAGCUGCUGCUGUUGUGACUGAAACUCCUCCCCAGGGAUGAACAUGUUACUCCUGUAAUCGGAUGAGGGAGAUGGCAACGGUGGCAUCCAGCACUGGUCAGAGUGGCCUAGAACCCUGCAUUCCUCCGUGCACAGACGCAUUGCUGCAGGAAUUCUCCCAUCUGUAAGGAAAAGGUCACUGAAUCCUUCCCCAAGAAGUCUGUCAAUUGGAGACUCUCUACCCAAAUCAUAAUCGCUGUCUCCAGCUUCGCUAUCACCCCGG
Molecule: long non-coding RNA, 451 nt
Filed under: Gallus gallus (chicken)
Lineage: Eukaryota; Metazoa; Chordata; Aves; Galliformes; Phasianidae
Source: RNAcentral